AUGAAACAGCACGAAGAGAAAAGCGAAGUGUGCCAUGGGCUACAAAAACAUUGAGAAACUACGCAAUCUUCUGCAAACAUCCCACAGACGCAGAGCCAGCGCUGGAACUGAGAAACAAGGAAGGAGAGGAAAGCCCACAUUACACCUGAUCAAAAGAAGAUACACCUUCAGCAUCAGUGGAUUGCAUCUGUAUAUAUAUAUAUAUAUAUAUAUAUAUAUAUAUAUAUAUAUAUAUAUAUAUGAGAGAUUGUUUUUUAUUAACUGUUUUAAGUAUGUGUUUUCCAUCUGAAUCGGGAAGAGUGCUUGAGCAACAGGGAAACGAUGUUCUGUAAGUUUGGUGGGUGAAACGAGAGGGCUGGCUUCUUGGUCGGAACAGACGGUCAUCCAGUGAUCCUCAGUCCUCCUGAGUGGAAAGUGAGUUGCAACGGUACCUUUUGAAUAUCUGUGAAAAAAGGGGUUUGAUGCACUGCACUGCAUAUGCCCUAGCCCCUGGACCACUUGGAUGGUAUCCUUAGCCUUUAGCUGUGAUGACUCACUACGUGGGUGCUGGAGUGACUUGUAACUUGCUCACUCAGAGGAAGGAAGAGAAGGGGGCUUAAUAGCACCAUGGUUUCCAGAGCAACCACCUGUGGAAUAGAGAGAUGAAAGUUGUCAAAUGCAAAACAGCAGGCAUUUUAAAAAUCGUAUUUCUGAAGAUGCAUUAUCCACAGCUGUCUUUACUUUUCAAAUACUACAUUAUUACCAAGUGAGUGCUUCGGGGAUAUGCAGAGAAUGCCUAUCAUGACCACUAAAACAUCAGUAUAGAUUUAUAUGGUGCAGAACAGAACUUUGUUUAUGGACUUUGCGAUGCCUGCACUAAUAGUCGUAUCUACAAUGUAUCGAUAAUAACAAUCAACCAUUUUGUUACAGAUGUUCUAACAAGUCUGACACAAACCAUUUUGGCUGUUACUUAAUCAACCCUUGUAAAAAAAUAACAGAAAAAUGCUUAACAUAAAAAAGAAAGGUCCUACUACAGUAGCAGACGCAGUUUACACUGCCUCUGGGCUUCUGAUCGAAACACCAAUUCCAGAUUUUUUUAAAUUCAUUGAUGGAAAUGUCUGGUCUACUUUUAAUGUUUUCAAGUAAAUUGACUUCAUCUCUGCCGUUCUCAUAUCCACUUUGACAUCUGACACAUUAUUCCCCUUGUCCAGCGUUUCUUUAACCUGUUCUGUAUACCAGUCUGCCAGACGGCGAGAUCUCUAUGAGCACUGUAUGCAACUGUCUGAUUGGUGGAAGUAUUAUUAGCGAUCCAAUCAAAACCACCAAUAAAGCCAAAACAAAUUAUCCGCCCGUCAUAUGGUGUAGCCUAGGUUAAAGGGUACAUAAGGACCUUUUUAUUUUAUUGUGUUACAUGUUCCCAUGUUUUGCUACAACUGUUCACGUAAGGUGUGUGUAUUGUUUAAAUUAUUAUUAUUUUUUUUACCAUUUGACCAUUUUUUAAAAAACUUUUUAAAUUGCAUUCCGUGCCUCAAGAUGGCUUCACAUGUACCUGCAUGGAUCUCUCAGAACUACAUUUACCAUCAUCCUACUCACAUAUGUAACUGAGAUGGAUUUACCAGUGAACAGGAGGAUGAUGGGAAAUGUAGUUCUGAGAGGUCCAUGCUGUAACAAAAUGGUUGAUCGUUAUUGUCGAUACGUUGUAGAUACGAUUACCGAAGACACUCACCAUGCUGGUAUCUCAAAGUCUAUGAACAAAAAAAAACAUUAAAAUAACCUAGUUCUGCACCGUAUAAAACUGAGCUGAUUUUACCAGUGCUUGCUAGUCUUUUAACCAUUUUGAAAUUAUUUCGAAGCAAAUUAAAGCAUUUUCAUUUCGGCUUUAUAUUAAAGUUUUCACACGUGGCAGUACUGUCCUACAAUUAAUGAUACUGUGAUCAUUCCACUGUGUUAUGUUGUGAACCAUAGCUAAGUUUUAAGACUGAGAGAUAGCAAAUGCUUAUCGUAAAAGUUUACCCAAGCACGUACCCAUGUUCUGUGGUUCAUGGAAACAUGGUAAUAGACAAUCAAGUUAACAGAGAUGCAGCUACGGUUCUCAGAUAUGAAUAGUUCCAGGCCGUUCCAAUAAAAGCACAUGUUAACCACUGAGAUGCAAUUAUAGAUUAAUGAUUUUAUCCUUUUUUACAGACGGGUCAGAAUCUAUAGCAGCAUUACACAACAUGUUUUUUGCAUUAUGUGAUGAAGCUACUUUGUACAAACACAUUUUUGGGAAUUGUUCCUUAUAAAGUACACAGAGCCUGAAUAAAUAUUUGUCUUUCUUUACAACGAUUGUAUAGUAUCCUUAUGUUCAUGUUGAUCAAAUUCUUUAUCUUUAAAACAAUGUAUUACACAUUUUUAUAUAUUCACACAACAGAAGAAGUGCUCAUUGCUCAGUUUAAGCAUUUGCGUUUGUUCCAUGUCAAUUAAUUAUUUGUUUUUGAAUUUGGUUUGAGAAAUAAAAAGUGAAAUUCUGAUUAAAAAAAUUAUAGGGUGUUUCUAUGAAACUGUAUUUUCAGUUCCUUUUGUUUGUUUCGUAUAUGGGGGUGGGGUAUUUGAGAAUGGAAAACUAGGAAGAUA
Long non-coding RNA from Acipenser ruthenus (sterlet), 2592 nucleotides. RefSeq lists it as uncharacterized. The transcript has 3 exons. Lineage: Eukaryota; Metazoa; Chordata; Actinopteri; Acipenseriformes; Acipenseridae. The record is from RefSeq and is a predicted model, not a curated record.